AUUGGUAUACAUAAGACUCGAAGACAGAGAAGCCUGUUAACAAAUAUUGUGAUAAUUACCUUUCCUUAAAGCCCACUUAUCUUGAGUACCACCAGUACAGAUCAAGAAAGAAGCAACCAUCCACACUGGCCUGACUGUGAGUUCAUCAGAUUACUCAAGAGGUUGGCACACUGAAUGAAAUGGAACCACAACUACUAUGUAUCUGUCUGAAGAUAAAGGGAUCAAUUCAUCAAAGCUGUUUUUAUCACCUUUCCAUGUUAUGUCGACAUGGAAAUAUACACCUGCUCAUCAUCAAAGCUCUUUAAUCUCCUUUCUAUUGUACGCCAAGAUAUGCAUUUAUUAAUCAGUACAGGAAAUAACACUCCAAAAAGGAAUAUGGUGCUAAUUCUACUGUGGGGUAUUAAAAGACUGUAUCGAAAUAAAAAUAAUAAAAUAGGUGAUAUGAAUGGAAAGUUUCACAAUACUAAUAAAACC
This is a non-coding RNA of Pelobates cultripes (western spadefoot toad), 474 nucleotides long. NCBI's taxonomy places the organism in Eukaryota, Metazoa, Chordata, Amphibia, Anura, Pelobatidae. The record is from the annotation of a GenBank genome assembly.